This is an RNA transcript of Panicum virgatum (switchgrass), 1574 nucleotides long. RefSeq lists it as uncharacterized. Lineage: Eukaryota; Viridiplantae; Streptophyta; Magnoliopsida; Poales; Poaceae. The record is from RefSeq and is a predicted model, not a curated record. The transcript has 4 exons.
CCGCGACCCUCGUGCCUCCUCGUUCUUCGCGCUCACCAUCGCCUCCCGCCUCCCACCGCGGGGAGCAGAAGUGGCGGCGGCCCUCCCUCCCCUUCAUAUGCGGCGGCAUAGGGGGACAUGGCCGCGGCCGGAGCAGCGGCGUGCGGCCAGCGGGCGGGCAGCUGCCGGCGGUCGCGGCGGCUGGCUCCCAUACUGCCCCAUCGAGGACGCCCCCCUUCACGGGUUGCGCGGCGCGCGCGGCGAGGGCCAACCCCAUGCGGCGCGAGGCACGUCCAGGUGCCCUAGCACGCGGGGGCAGCGAGCGGCGUGCGACACACGGGCGCAAGGAGUAGGGCGGCACGCGGAUGGUCUAGGCGCGGCCCCGUCCCGCUGCUACCUGGGCCGUGAAUGCUUGUAGACAAUCCUGAUGACCUGAUCUAGUUUUUCCCCUCCUUCAAAUCGACAAUCUCUUGCAGUGGGGAUCAUGACGCGAAUGGCGGCAUCCACUCUAGGCAUCGAAGCUUCCUCACACUCACCUGAGCUGUCGAAUCCUUGGGGGAUUCCUCUCCAUAGGCAUAAGGUGUCCGAUCGAGUUGGAUUUCACCUCCAAUAAUUGUUCCUGGUGAAUGCUAAACAAUCUAGGCAUCACAGUUUGGCCAGUGCUAGAUCUAAAUCUCAGCCUUGACUUUGGUUCGAUGUAAGGUUGCAUUGAAGCAUUGAUCUACCAGGGGAAGAGGUUCCAUUGAAUCGAGGAUGCCUGCAAUGGCAUAGGGAACCACCGGCAUGCUCCACUCUCAUGGACAGAACUGACACCGUACCACCGUACAAGCACGCAGGUGAAGGUGCAUACCCCGCAUCCCUACAUCGCCGCUUUGUCCCCAGCUUGAUUCAUCCAGAUAGAUCUUGCUGGUUGCUGCAAUCGAGAUCGAGUACACAUGCAGGUCCGUCAAACAACCAAGAAUUCAUCUUUUUUUUACUGCAAUAUCGAUAAGUAAUAAUAACAGAAAGGUGGAUUAUUUCUUUUCAUGUGAAAGCAAGUUGAGCCCAGAUCUCAUUUGGCGUUGCAGCUUGCUGUUUCUGCAUUGGGCGUUGUUGGUGCAGUAAUGAACCUAACCGCUGGUGCUGGUCCCAUGGUGUGGAUAUCUAUCAUCUGGGAAGAUUGGCUAGAGCAUCUUGUGUUGUGCUUCCUUCUGUUUAGGUGCCAUGGUGCUCCUCGACAAGAUUGGCUAGGCAUCAGAGGUGAACUCUAUUCUUUUUGUUGAGGCAAAGUUGGGAUCUUGAGCUGGAUCUUUAGCCCUGCUAUUUGCAGAACCUUUGAUUUGUAAAACAACUGCUGUUGGAUUAUGUUAGCUAGUGGUUAGGAUUUCUCCAAAUGAUAGCAUAUCCUCUUUUUUAGUAUGUGAUUCCAUCUUGCACGGCCAUCUGUUACUCGGGUAUGGUAUGUCUCCCAUUAAACUGAAUUUUCAUUUGACAUGCCAUGGCCUCAACGUAGUGAUAGAAUACCUCUGUAAUAUACUUGCUGUGCACACAGCACAGCCUUGCCAACUUGAGAUAGUUAAGUUCCUUAUUAAUGCUACUAAAGUAUUUGAAAUGCA